Molecule: ribosomal RNA, 253 nt
Filed under: uncultured bacterium
Lineage: Bacteria
Description: partial 16S ribosomal RNA
Rfam family: Bacterial small subunit ribosomal RNA
Source: RNAcentral
UACGUAGGGUGCGAGCGUUAAUCGGAAUUACUGGGCGUAAAGCGUGCGCAGGCGGUUUUGUAAGCCAGAUGUGAAAUCCCCGGGCUUAACCUGGGAAUGGCAUUUGGGACUGCAAGGCUGGAGUGCGGCAGAGGAGACUGGAAUUCCCGGUGUAGCAGUGAAAUGCGUAGAUACCGGGAGGAAUACCGAUGGCGAAGGCAGGUCUCUGGGCUGACACUGACGCUCAUGCACGAAAGCGUGGGGAGCAAACAGG